UAUGUUACGAAAUUACUUUUCCUACAAGACCAAAGAGGGUAAAAACAGGUCAAGAAAUACAUGAUCUCAGAGACGAUAAAGAAUUUUUAAAAAUGAAAAGAAUUUAAUACAGAUCACCAAAUCAAAACGCUAGGCUCCAUGCAUCAAGCAGGUAAUAGUUUAACAAACCACGCAGCAAGAAAACAUGUUGAAAAUUCAAUUUGCAUGCCUUGCAGUAAAAACCCAGAAAUUAAAGUAAUAAAGAACGAAUCACUGAAUAAAUUGAUUUAUCUAUCUGGAGCCAAAUGUAUGCUGAUUAAAUAAUGAAGUUCAUGAUUCAAUUUUUAUUUAUAGCAUUAAAAGAACAAACACCAAGAUUAACUUCACAAACAUGAACCCGGAAAUGAAAAAGAAUACAAAAUUAUUGGAAGAAAGAUAGAGCAAGAAGAAAGCGUAUUUAUUUCUCCUGAAAAACCAAAGAGGUCACCGAAUCAAAAAAAUAUUAACUGAUUUAAUAGUAUACAUUAAAAAUAAUGAAGAAAUUUAGAAAAGAAAAAUGAUUUAACAGACAUCACCAAAUCAAAUCCACGCUUAGUUUGACCAAACACGCUGCAGAAUAAUUAAGGACAUGAUUAAGGACAUGUUUAAAAUUCAAUUUUUUACACCGCACAUUACAUGUUGAUUAUUAUCUCUAUUGUUCGUGCUCAAUAGAAGUGAUCUUACUGAAGUUCUCAAGAGUAAUUUCCAAUAAAGAAAGUUUAUACUCUAGUUAACACUGGCAGGUCAAACAACCAAAAUAUAACUUUCAAAAUACAUUAAGCAUUCCUAAGCUAGAAGCAGGCCUGCUUUGUGGACUAAUGAGAAACAAUAAACUCCGCACAUUUGGUAUAUUCCACUAUUGUGCUUGUUCUUGAUAGAAAGAAUGCAGGACACGCAUAAAUAGUAAGAAAUAACUGGUUUUGUCCAAAAUAGGACGCUCUAUCAUGUUAUUCACACAAGCUUUUCACAAUCCACGUAUAUUUGCAAUGAACGAGAUAAAAUUACAAAGAACCAAUCCAAGUAGAAUUCACCUUGAAGCCCGGUGCCCUCAGAAAUAUCCACUUAGAGAACCGAUUUAUUCUUAUGAACACCCAAGCUCCCCAAAUAAAGACCACACAAGCUGUCCAAAACAGAUUACAGAUACAGGUAGGUCAAACCAUAAGAGAAUAACUACUCCACUGACAAAGAUACAAAUUUGGGACAGAAGAUUCUUAUUCUUAUAUAAUAACUAGAAAAGAUGGGAGACUACCAGAGUACAACACCAAAACAAGUCAUAUACUCUAGAAUCUUGUAUGCUUCAGUAUUCAUGCUCCUCAUGCAAAAACACAUAUAUCCAGCACUAGCAUGAGACAUAUCAAAGGAAAAAUAUCCCCUAAUGUCGUAACAUAACAGAUAUGUAAAAAAUCAUUAACCUUCAGUUUCCACAGGUCACAGCACACCAUAUAUUCAUAGUCGGUCUCCCCUGUAACACCCAUAGAUAUCAAAAGAAUUGAAAAAAGAUGUAAUUGAAAAGAAAAAUAGAUUCACAAUCCAAUCUUCAUGUCUUAAAAACAAAGCAAUAAUCUUAAAAAGUAAAGAACGACUCAUUGGAGUGAUCUGAUAUAUCUGGACUCUCCAAACAUUGUAGAUAUUCAAACUUUAGCCCUCUGCAAAACAGAGGUGUAUAUCUUGAUUAUCCAAGAAAGAGAUGGACAGUAUCAUAAAUAUUGCCAAAGCUCUCAUAAUAUCUAGAUUCAUAAUUCUAGACAUUGCCACAUCACAAGGACACCUAUACAUGAACAAGUACAUUCAAGGCAAGAAAAUGACCGGUGAAAUCCAAGGGUCUGCAGCUUUAACAUCACAGUACAUCAUCUCCCCUGUAACACAAGCCAAGAAAAUUUCACAACAAAAAACCCCAGUUACAAACACAUGGAGUUGGGUAGGAAUGAGAGAAAACUACAUCCACAAAAGACAAGGAAACGUUAAGAAAUCACUGUCAAAGUAGAGAUAACGAAAUGAAAGCUUAACAACGGCAGAUUCUGGUGAUCCAUUAAGCUCUCCCCCCUAAAAACCAAGUCCUUGUAUAUAACCAAUUGCAGAAUCUGUGAGGCAUAACCAUUUUGGAGAGAAGAUUCUUAGCCUUAUGUAUAUAUACCACAAACCGCAGGAAAAUAGAAAACGAAUUAUAGUAGAGGAAAAGACAAAUCAACAAUUAAAGUAUUGAAGUGCCAAACCAGUCCAGAAUGCUUAUAUGCUUCAUACUCUCAUGAGACAGAACCACAAAAACUCAGACACUUGCAAGAAACCAUCAGAGGACCCGAUAUCCCAAAUCCCAAUAUAAAACAGACUGUGGUUAUUUUAAGAUACAUUACGCUCCAGAAAACAGGUUUUAAUACACAAUCCCACCAGGAAUGAAACUCAAUUGGCAACAUCCAAAACAGAAAAUUCAUAUCAGAACUCCAGUCAUCUUUCCAAGUUCCGCAAAACAUUACUAUUUCCUAUUACUCAUAUAGCAAUACCAUAAAUGCAAAACAACAUCGGUCUACCAAGAAUAAUGUUAGUUGUAACAGAGGAAUUCAAGAACAAUUAAUCAAUUGUAACUGCAAAAGUUAAGAUACCGAAUAAUUAAUCACAAAGAAUAAGAAUACAACACAUGAGGAUCAAACAAGAGAAUGUCACAGAUUAUUGCUCCUGCAACACCAAAAAGUAACGAAUGAAGAAAUAUUCAUACUCUCAGCAACACCAAAAAGUAACCAAUCAAGAAAUAUUCAUACUCUUAGCAGUGAAAGAAAUAUUGUAAACAAAGAAUUAUGAUAGAUAUCACCAUAUAAAAACGCUAUGAUGCGAAGAAAGUUAUUAGAUUUGACAGACCGUGCUGCAGAAAAACAUGUUCAAAAUUCAAUUUGUUAAAAGCCCAUAAAUCAAGUUAAUAAAUGACUCAUUGAAGAAACAUCAUCUAUCUAUCGGAUGUUGUUCCUCGUUCUUGUCCAUUGAAUCAAGUGUUCUAGAUAUCUAGAGUUCCGAGUUCCCUGCUUGCAGUACAACGGAUUAAAGGUCUUCAAUUAUCAAAUGAAGUUAUUUUGAAAAAUAACACAAAGAUUGAAUAAAUGAAAUUUCUAGAGAUCACCAGAAAAAUACUAAAGGCUCCAUACUCUGAAGUAGGUUAUUAUUUAAACAAACCAGGCUGCUGAAAAAGCAUGUUCGCAGUUCAAUUAUUUUGACAAACCAUGCUGCAGAAAAGCAUUUUCAAAAUCAAUUUGUAUGUCUUGUAAUCAAAGUCAGAUUUUAAACAAAAUUAACAAAAUCAAUAAAGAUUUAAACAAAAAGGAUUUACUACCUUUGAUAUUUAUGAAGUAAGGAGAAAAAUUUGAGGUUCUAUGCUAUGAAGGAGGUUAAUAUUUUGACAAAACCAAGCUGAAAAAGAAAGUCAUUGAUUCAAUUUUGCUGUCUUGCAUUAAAAUUAAUAAAUAAUCACCAAAAUCAAAACCUCACAAAGAAGCGUGUUUUCAUAGAUAUUUCUCCUGAAACACCAAAGAGACCAAAUCAAAAAAUAUCAACUGAUUCAAUGUAAUACAUAAAUAACAAUGAAGAAAUUUUGAAAACAAAUAAUUUAACAGACAUCACCAAAUCAAAUCCAUGCUUUAGUUUGCAAACCACCCACCACGCUGCAGAAUAAUUAAGAUGUUCAAUAUUCAAUUGUAUGUUUUCCAAUCAAAUUAAAAUAAUUAAGAACCACUAUUAAUUAAAGAAAUUUAAUUUAUCUAGCUGGGGCCUUUCUUGUGCCUUGUAUCAAGAUGUUUCACUGCAAAACUGAUAAACGAUCUCUCGAUUAUCAAAUGAAGAAUUAAUUAUAUAUGAAUUUUAAGAAAUUUUUAUGUAAAAGAAUAAGGGCUCGUGUAAGUAGGAAACAGAAAAUAUCUAUUCUAGUUCUAUCAUCAGCUAUGGGUUCGAAUUUAAGCGAAAUUCUUGAGAACGUUUGCUACCCCGAAAUUUUUAUAUCUUUCCUCAAUGAAAAGGAGGAAAAAAAAAUAGGGUCAAAAGAAAAUGCCAUUUUGGAGUUUUAUCGACAAUUUGCUUGUGUAGGCGGAGAUCCCAUAUUUCCGGAAUCUUUAUGUACGGAAUUACAAAAAAAAAAAUUUCAACAAAGAUGUGAAUUGGGAGGGAUUGGUUUGCAACAAAAGGGACAGAAUUUUCUCAAUUCACAUCGAUUGGGUGUAUUGUGUCGAUUCUUUUGAGUAAUAUAUCUAGAAAUACCCCUAGAUAUGUGAUUGUGUGAAAUUCUGUUGAAAGUAUAUCUUAACAAUCACUGAAUUUAAGCAAUAACAGAUCAAAGAAUCAAGAAACUAGAACACCAAAUCAAGAAAUCAUAAUUGCAUUCUUUAAAUCGACAUAGAAAAAAAAGAUUUACUAGAUAUCACCAAAUCAAAUCUAGAAGCUCCAUGCUAUGAAUAACGUUAUACUCUGACAAACCACGCUGCAGAAAAACAUGUUCAUGAAUAAGAUAUAUUCAUACUCGAGUAGUUAAAGAAAUAUUGAAAACAAAAAGAUUAUGAUAGAUAUCACCAAAUAAAUAUGCCAUGCUCUGCUGUGAAGGAAGUUAACAGUUUGACAGACAGUGCUGCAAAAAAACAUGUUCAAAUUCAAUUCCCGGAGCGAUAAGAACGAAAGGGUUGUGUGGCCACAGCUACAACACUCUUGAUACGAAAGAAACCAUCAUAAAUUAAAUUGAUAAAGGACUCGUUCAAGAAAAAUCAUUUAUCUAUCAAGAGCCGUUCCCCGUUACAUUACGUCUCCUAGAUUUCAAGACUUGAUCUUCGAUUAUCAAAGUAAGAGUUAUAUCGAAAAAUAAUACUCGUUAACUAAUCGUAAAAGAAGAGUCAAGAAAAGUAUGAGAGAGUGUGAAAUAUAUGCUCUCGGGCAUUGAACGGACGAAUUUACUAGAUAGAGAUCACCAGAAAAUUCUCAAGCUUCCAUACUCAGGAGGUUAUUACUUAGACAAACCAAGCUGCAGAAAAAGCAAGUUCACAGUUCAAUUCUUCUCAUAAUCUAAAACUUGAAAUUGAAAACAAUAAAGAAUGAAUCAUUGAAGAAAUUCGAUUCAUCUAUUUGAAGCAAUUCUCCGUUCAUAUCCGUUGUGUCAAGAAUCACAAAAUGUUCACAGUUUUUCGGAAUUCCGCCACCUGCUGCAAAUUAAACAUAUAUCUCCGUUAUCUACUUAUGAAGAACUAGAACCAAUAGUUCGAAAAUAAACAUAAUUUUUGAAAAAAACGAUCCAUAAAAGAAGAGUAGAGAGAACUGUGAAAUUCUUGAUAUCUAUAUUCCAAAAAAGCAUAUCAAAACACCAAUCAAUAAAGAUCUCAUUGAUAGAAGAAGAUCAAAGACCCAAGCGAAAAGAUAAACUGCAGACUCCUUAUGCUUUAUACUCAUGUUCCUGAUACAAAAACAUAAAAACUGCAACACUAUCCGAGCACACCAUCAGAGCACAACUAUCCCAUCCCAACACAAAAUGAAACCAGUUUUAUUAAUACCAAGGUUGAAUGAAAAGUAGGAUGUAUGACCAGUUUUAUUAAUACCAAGGUUGAAUGAAAAGUAGGAUGUAUGACCAUCAAAGCAGUCACAAUUUCUCCAGAAUUGUGUAAACUAUCACGGUCAGAAUACAUCAAAAACCUGAAUGUAAGGAAUCAGAGUAUGAUGGUGUAAGAAAACCUAAGGCUGAACUUCUCAGAUAUAAACAAGAGGAAGAUCAAUAGAACCAGAAUAUGUUUAAAAAAGAUCACUUCUCCUGCAACACGGAAGAAUAAACAACAAAUAAAGAAAUAUAUAUGUCGAUAAAACAAAUUUUUAAAAUGAAAAGAAUUAAAUAGUUAUCACCAUAUCAAAAUGCUAGGUUCCAUGCCAUGAAGCAGAUUAUUAGUGUGACAAACCAUGCUGCAGGAAAACAUGUUCAAAAUUCAUUUCGUAUGUCAUGCAAUUGAAGCCCAGAAAUUAAAAUAAUAAAGAAUGGCUCAAUGAAGAAAUUUGAUUUUUAUCUGCUGUUGUUCUUUUCCGGUGUAUGAAACGUUCUAGAUAAUGAAGAUUUCACAGACUGCAAGAUGGAUAAAUGCAUCGCCAGGUUAUCAAAUGAAGAAUUAUAUCCCAAACAAGUUUUGAUAACCAAUCCAUAAAAGAAGAGACAAGAUAAGUGUUAAAAUUCAUGAUAUCUACAAUCUGAGGGGAACAUAUUAAUAAGCAAACAAUAUGGCCAACUAGUUAAAAAAUCAAGUAACAAAAGAAGGUAUGAACAAGAAUAAACAAACAAACUUCAUAAUCAAGAAAUCAAAAGCAUAUCUUCUCAUGUAACACCAUCAAGAAAUCAAAAUCAUAUCCUCUUAAUACCAAAAAGUAAAUUAACAAUUUAACAAUUCAAGAAACAUUUGUUCUUAGAAUCAAGAAUGUAAGAUUGAAACAAAAAGGAUUUACUAGAUAUCACCAAAUCAAAACUUCAGGCUCUAUGCUGUGAAGGAUAUUAUUAUUUUGACAAACCAUACUGCUGUCUAAACCAACAAAAACAAAUAAUCAACCAGACAAAUCAUGAAACCGAAAGAAUCAAUCAAAAAUGAAUUAACAGUGCAAAACAUGAAGACCAAACAAGAGGAAGAUACAUACAACCAGAAGAAAUCGUAUGUUACAAAAUUACUUUUCCUGCAAGACCAACGAGGGUAAAAAACAGGUCAAGAAAUACAUGAUGAAAUACAUGAUCUCAGAGACGAUAAAGAAUUUUUAAAAAUGAAAAGAAUUUAAUACAUAUAACCAGAAGAAAUCGUAUGUUACAAAAUUACUUUUCCUGCAAGACCUAAGAGGGUAAAAACAGGUCAAGAAAUACAUGAUCUCAAGAGACAAUAAAGAAUUUUAAAAAAUGAAAAGAAUUUAAUACAGAUCACCAAAUCAAAACGCUAGGCUCCAUGCAUCAUUGAAGAAAUUUGAUUUAUCAAUGUGAAGCCAUUCUCUGUACAUAUCCAUUGAGUCAAGAAUCGCAAAAUGUUUAGUUUCUCAAAAUUCCACUUCCAGCAUAAUGGUUAAAUGCAUAUCUCAAGUAUCUAACAUGAUGAUCUCGAUUAUGAAGAACUACAACCAAUAGUUUGAAAAUAAACAUAUCACAACGAUCCAUAUAGGAGUAGAGAGAAUCGUGAAAUCCUUGAUAUUCUAAAAUCUAAUAAAGCAUAUCAAAAUGCCACAACAUAAAGAUCUCCUUGAUAGAAGCAAAUCAAAGACCCAAUCAAAAAGAUAAAGUCCAGACUCACAUUCCUGAUACAAAAACA
This 7295-nucleotide long non-coding RNA is filed under the name Medicago truncatula (barrel medic). RNAcentral's name for it is "long non-coding RNA (MTRU_LNC006149)". Lineage: Eukaryota; Viridiplantae; Streptophyta; Magnoliopsida; Fabales; Fabaceae. The record is from RNAcentral.